AUACGGAGGAAGCAAGCGUUAUUCGGAAUCACUGGGCGUAAAGGACGCGUAGGCGGGUUUGUAAGUCAGGUGUGAAAUCCUACAGCUCAACUGUAGAACUGCACUUGAAACUACAGACCUAGAGUAUGGAAGGGGCAGAUGGAAUUAGUGGUGUAGGGGUAAAAUCCGUAGAUAUCACUAGGAAUACCAAAAGCGAAGGCGAUCUGCUGGGACAUUACUGACGCUGAGGCGCGAAAGCGUGGGGAGCGAACAGGAUUAGAAACCCCAGUAGUCC
RNAcentral lists this ribosomal RNA (274 nucleotides) under uncultured bacterium. RNAcentral describes it as "partial 16S ribosomal RNA". It matches the Rfam family "Bacterial small subunit ribosomal RNA", at positions 523 to 796 of the family's 1533-position model. The record is from RNAcentral.